UGAGGAACCGGAAACUCAGCGAGGUUAAGUUUCACCUUCCUGAAAAUCGGGUACCCCGUUUCUGUUCCCCCAAGGGAGCUCAAUUCAAAGUCCCCAAAGGAAUAGGUCUUCUGUGAGGACCUGUUCUCCACUGGAAAAAGCAGUGGGAGUGACCCAGGGCGGCCCCUCUGGCCCAAGCUUGUGGGUGGCGGGGAUGGGGGUGGGGACAGAGGGCCUAAAUGGGUGGCCAGGUGGUCUGCAGAGUCUCUCCAGCAGCAGAUGGCCUCCCCAGCCCUUUCCUUCAGAGCCUAUUAAGCUGUCAGAUGGGGGAGGGUUGGCCCCCAAGGCCAGGGACUCAGCAGCAGCAGCAGCUCACAGCACUGGAGCCGUUAAAAAGUGACUCAACCAGAAAGUGCGUUUGAAGUGACGCCCGCCAGGGCCCCAGAGCCCCAGAGCCAAACCUCAAAAAGACGAAGUGAGAGAGACAGGCCUGCGGGGGCUGGGCCAGGGGUGGAGACCCAGCCUGGAGCCGGCCUGGCCAAAUAAGGGCAAAUGCACUAGGGCGGGCCAAUGGGGCACCAGUGGCUGGCUGCGUCACGGAGCUGUGGCUCUGGGCAGGGGGAGGUGAGAUGCCUGGGCCAAAAUGGGGGCAGGCGUCAGGGGGCCCAGUCCCUCUUCAAGGGGUCCCAGGGUGGGUGAAUACAGGAGGCAUGGAAGCCCUCACCCUCAAGGAGGCUUUGACACUCAGGUCAGUGGACCUGCAACCCCAGAGCCCACCUGCAGGCUGGGUGGGGCUCAAGGGAGAAAAAGGAAAACCUGGAGGACCCCCCAUGCCCCUGCCCCAGUUAUGGGCCCUGGAUCCCCAUCUGCCAUGCAGAACUGAAGGGAGGCCAUAGGGACAGCAGUGUUGUGCAAGGGGGAAAGGCUGAAGCACCAGUGCAGCCUCACCAGGCCACUGACUGUGGGCAAGAGAUGUAAUGGAAACUCAGUUUUCUCAUCUGUGAAAGGGGAAUAAUAUUGCCUCGUGGGAUGGCACUGAGGGUCAAAUGCAAUAAUAGAAGUGGCCCAUUUUGAAGCUGGAAAUUGUCAUAGGGAUGUAAUAGAUGAUUAGUGUAGAGGCACAAGGCCAAAGGCUGCUUCUUAGAUUCUUGUUUCCAGUUGCUAUAAAAUAUCCCUUUGCAAGGACACCAUGUGGUUCUCAAUUUUGGCCCCUGGUGUCUAGAACAAGGUAGGGGGAGGUGCAGAUGCCACAGGGAUUCCCGAAUCUUAGUCCCUAAGCAAAAGCAGAAGAGACUGAUGCCUGCUCGCCUCCAGCUGAUUCCCCAGGGACAUACCCCCUCUUCAUUUCUCCUGCAUCUCCUCACCUUCCAUGAAUCCAGACCAUGCCCCACCCCUCCUCCUGAGACCCCGCCCUCCAUCUCCCCGGCCUCUCUGGGGUGCAGGGCAGCGGAAGUGAGUCUACUCAGCUGACCAGAGAAAGUGCUGCAGCUGCCUGCACAGGGUGGGCCGGCCACUGGCUUGUUCAGGGCCUGUGAUAACUCCCUUGCCUCAGGCCUCCGCAGCCCCUGCUGGGACCACUGGCCCAGGAGGAAGGCUGGGCUCUGGCUGCCACCUGCUUCCUCUCAGGAGUUCUCCUCCCUCCCAAGCAUGGAUUUGCAUUUCCCCCCUCUGCCUUCUGCUACUCAAGCCCCCAGGGAUGAGGUGACAGUUAACCCCCCACUUCCUGCCAGUGGCCCCAGAGCGCUCACUUCCUUCCAGUCUGCGCAGUCAGGGUCAGGCACCCUUUCCGACUACUCACUCAGCUGCGGAUCCCCACCCGCCUGUGACUCCCAGCGUCUUUCGGCUCCAACUUAAGUUCACCGAACGUCUAAGAGCUGAGGAUUCAAAGGCAUGUAAGACCGCCCGUGCCCUCAGCUAAAAGACCUGCCCGCGAUCCUACGAGCCCCGCUCCGCCCUCUUUCCCCGACCUUGGUCCCCCAUGGUCCCUACAACCAAGUCCCCGACUGACACCUUGACCAGCGAACACAGCAAACAGGCCCGCAGAUGCCGCAGGUCCUUCGGCACUGUCUCCAGGGCCAUCUUCUCCGAUGGGAAGAGCAACAGAGAGAUACACGGCCACAGCCUGCGCACCCGCAGGAAGUAAACACCUCGUUACCCAGAAUGCCCGCCACUUCUGGCGCUCAGACUUCCUCUUCCGGUGUGGGCGGGCGCCUGCUCCGCCCCUACCCCCGCCAGAGGAGAUGGUUUCUCCCACCGGCAGGCGGGGAGGCGGGGCGGUCGGCCGCCACCUGGGCCGGGGCGCGUCCCCGCCACCUGAGCCCGCCGAGGGCGCGGCGGAGGCUGUGUAGGGUAGUUAGCGGGCCCUCGAGGGGCGGGGCGGGGCGGGGCGGGGUGGGCGGCUGCGCUUGCGCGGGAGUGCGUCGGCCUGAGCCGCAGCGCCGCGACGCGGGCCGUUUGAUCUGGGUUGCUGGCAUUGGGGCGGCGGUCCCGUUCCCGGUGGUGACGCGAAAUUUUUGUUUUGUUUUGUCUUCCCGUUUUAGAAGCACUAGGGGCAGUGAAUCCACUGUCUCCCUCUGGAUUAUCUCUGCAGAGACCCAUAACAAAUCCAGGGACAGCCCCACCCCUCCUCCCUAACUGCCAGAGCCCUAUAGGGUUUCCACUUGCUUCCCACAGGAAUGCUGGCCUGCGAGCUACGGCGGAAAACAUGCGUAUUUAUCUUUUAAAACUCCGUCUGUUUGCUCGUUCCGGCUGAUAAUUUAUACUUUGCGCAGUUCUUAGCACUUAGACACGUUUCCUUUACUAAAGAACAUUUGUAGGAGAUUAGGUGUCCUUUUUUUCUCUUUCAUUUCACCGUAUAGGAAGCGAAAUGCCUUGUUCUACAGGCACCAACCACCACCCCUACCAAACCUUCUUCGGGGAAGCAGAAGGGGAACAUGUGCCGUGUGAGGAAGCGACAGAGGCCCCUUCUGGCCCUGGGGACUUCAUGCCAACGGAGCACCAGCUCUCUCUGUCCUCGCCAUAGCCCGAGUGCAGGCAGAACGCAGUCAUUUGUGUUUAUCUGAGAGGAGCUUUGGGAUAUAAAUAGUUUCAGGCCCCGCUGUUCUAUCCUUCCAGCCCAGCCUCCUGAUUGAAACUGAGCUGCUUCCGGGCAGGCUUGCUUCUUGUUGCCGGUCCCAUGCUGUGUUCAGAUGGGCUCUGUGACAGGUUUGGAUGUUUUCUAUCAUUGAAUAAAACUUUACACUUUGGAACAUGUUUUCUGUACUCGAUUAUCUCAUGUAAGUCCUGCAACAACCAUGAAGUAGGCCCAUUUUAUGGACUGAAAAAGCGAGGCACAGAGUAUUUGCCCAAGGUCUAAGUCACUGAAGCAUCAUAAUGUGUGAAGUGAACAGUAUAAUUAUGACUGAAUCACAGUGAGAAUCUAAUCAUGCUUUCUCCUUCCCUGAUCUCACUAAGUCACACUUUUAGGGGCUUACAAACCAGUUCUUAUUGCCAAGCCCUCUACUCUACCCUAUCCUUUCAUAAAUCGGAGCCUAGCCUCUGAUAACAGAAAUAAUUUAUUUCUCUUGAUGUAGAAAGAGAUGAAGUUGUUACCCUGAGUGACAGUCAUGACAAAACAAAAACACAAGACCAGACCACAUUUGUGGAUAAAUAUAUUAGCAAAUAAAUACAUUUCUCAACAUAGUGCCUGA
Molecule: long non-coding RNA, 3668 nt
Organism: Piliocolobus tephrosceles (Ugandan red Colobus)
Lineage: Eukaryota; Metazoa; Chordata; Mammalia; Primates; Cercopithecidae
Exons: 3
Source: RefSeq, a predicted model, not a curated record